UUUGUACACUAUUGUAGUUCCGGCUUCAAAGAACUUUUUUCGGUCUCUUUUAGAGCAAUUUUUACAUAUGCUUAAAGUUCUUUCCCCGUUUUUAAAGGCUUUCCUGUUCGAACUUCGGGAGAGAGUACAUCCUUUAAUUAUAAUUUUGUUAACCUUAAUUAUUGCGUCUGGUCCUUUCGUACCCUUUUUCAUAAGAAGAUUUAUUCAAACAAAGAAAAAAGUUUUUUUUCGCGUGAAAAAGCUUGGUACAGCCUUAAUAGGGAAAUUUAAAAGUUUUAGCACAAAUUUAUUUUCAAUCGCCUGUCAUC
Molecule: long non-coding RNA, 308 nt
Organism: Zophobas morio
Lineage: Eukaryota; Metazoa; Arthropoda; Insecta; Coleoptera; Tenebrionidae
Exons: 3
Source: RefSeq, a predicted model, not a curated record